Molecule: ribosomal RNA, 567 nt
Filed under: Nitzschia capitellata
Lineage: Eukaryota; Bacillariophyta; Bacillariophyceae; Bacillariales; Bacillariaceae
Description: LSU rRNA
Rfam family: Eukaryotic large subunit ribosomal RNA
Source: RNAcentral
AUUUAAGCAUAUAAUUAAGCGGAGGAAAAGAAACUAACCAGGAUUCCCUCAGUAAGGGCGACUGAAGCGGGAAGUGCUCAGGAUGUGAAUCUGCGCCUUGUUGCGCCGAAUUGUGGUCUGUCGACUGUGGCAUUACUGGCCGGGCCAAGUCCUUUGGAACAAGGCAGCUGAGAGGGUGAGACUCCCGUCCGCCUGGCCGGGUGAGCUACAAGUCAACGAGUCGAGUUGUUUGGGAUUGCAGCUCUAAGUGGGUGGUAAAUUCCAUCUAAAGCUAAAUAUUGGUGGGAGACCGAUAGCGUACAAGUACCGUGAGGGAAAGAUGCAAAGAACUUUGAAAAGAGAGUUAAAGAGUACCUGAAAUUGCUGAAAGGGAAGCGAAGGAAACCAGUGUCGGCUUGGUCAUAUUUCCCUGUCCGCUUGCGGUUUGGGCGCUGUGUCCGGCCUAUGUCGUCCUUGGUUGGAUCUACUGGAAGAGCGCAGUGAGAGUUGAUCUCUGUUGCUAGCAGUAGGCUUGACUGAGGAGGACGAAAUGGUUUUCUUUACCCCGUCUUGAAACACGGACCAAGG